GAUCCUGGUUCAGGAUGAACGCUAGCUACAGGCUUAACACAUGCAAGUCGAGGGGCAGCGGGAAGUCAGCUUGCUGACUUUGCCGGCGACCGGCGCACGGGUGAGUAACACGUAUCCAACCUUCCCGUUACUCUGGAAUAGCCUUUCGAAAGAAAGAUUAAUACCGGAUAGUAUCGAGAGAUUGCAUGAUUACCCGAUUAAAGAUUCAUCGGUAACGGAUGGGGAUGCGUUCCAUUAGGCAGUUGG
RNAcentral lists this ribosomal RNA (246 nucleotides) under uncultured bacterium. RNAcentral describes it as "partial 16S ribosomal RNA". It matches the Rfam family "Bacterial small subunit ribosomal RNA", at positions 15 to 252 of the family's 1533-position model. The record is from RNAcentral.